CAUAGGUUAAUGAGGCGAACCGGGGGAACUGAAACAUCUAAGUACCCCGAGGAAAAGAAAUCAACCGAGAUUCCCCCAGUAGCGGCGAGCGAACGGGGAGGAGCCCAGAGCCUGAAUCAGUGUGUGUGUUAGUGGAAGCGUCUGGAAAGGCGCGCGAUACAGGGUGACAGCCCCGUACACAAAAAUGCACAUACUGUGAGCUCGAUGAGUAGGGCGGGACACGUGGUAUCCUGUCUGAAUAUGGGGGGACCAUCCUCCAAGGCUAAAUACUCCUGACUGACCGAUAGUGAACCAGUACCGUGAGGGAAAGGCGAAAAGAACCCCGGCGAGGGGAGUGAAAAAGAACCUGAAACCGUGUACGUACAAGCAGUGGGAGCCUCUUAAUGGGGUGACUGCGUACCUUUUGUAUAAUGGGUCAGCGACUUAUAUUCUGUAGCAAGGUUAACCGAAUAGGGGAGCCGAAGGGAAACCGAGUCUUAACUGGGCGUUAAGUUGCAGGGUAUAGACCCGAAACCCGGUGAUCUAGCCAUGGGCAGGUUGAAGGUUGGGUAACACUAACUGGAGGACCGAACCGACUAAUGUUGAAAAAUUAGCGGAUGACUUGUGGCUGGGGGUGAAAGGCCAAUCAAACCGGGAGAUAGCUGGUUCUCCCCGAAAGCUAUUUAGGUAGCGCCUCGUGAAUUCAUCUCCGGGGGUAGAGCACUGUUUCGGCAAGGGGGUCAUCCCGACUUACCAACCCGAUGCAAACUGCGAAUACCGGAGAAUGUUAUCACGGGAGACACACGGCGGGUGCUAACGUCCGUCGUGAAGAGGGAAACAACCCAGACCGCCAGCUAAGGUCCCAAAGUCAUGGUUAAGUGGGAAACGAUGUGGGAAGGCCCAGACAGCCAGGAUGUUGGCUUAGAAGCAGCCAUCAUUUAAAGAAAGCGUAAUAGCUCACUGGUCGAGUCGGCCUGCGCGGAAGAUGUAACGGGGCUAAACCAUGCACCGAAGCUGCGGCAGCGACACUAUGUGUUGUUGGGUAGGGGAGCGUUCUGUAAGCCUGUGAAGGUGUACUGUGAGGUAUGCUGGAGGUAUCAGAAGUGCGAAUGCUGACAUAAGUAACGAUAAAGCGGGUGAAAAGCCCGCUCGCCGGAAGACCAAGGGUUCCUGUCCAACGUUAAUCGGGGCAGGGUGAGUCGACCCCUAAGGCGAGGCCGAAAGGCGUAGUCGAUGGGAAACAGGUUAAUAUUCCUGUACUUGGUGUUACUGCGAAGGGGGGACGGAGAAGGCUAUGUUGGCCGGGCGACGGUUGUCCCGGUUUAAGCGUGUAGGCUGGUUUUCCAGGCAAAUCCGGAAAAUCAAGGCUGAGGCGUGAUGACGAGGCACUACGGUGCUGAAGCGACAAAUGCCCUGCUUCCAGGAAAAGCCUCUAAGCAUCAGGUAACAUCAAAUCGUACCCCAAACCGACACAGGUGGUCAGGUAGAGAAUACCAAGGCGCUUGAGAGAACUCGGGUGAAGGAACUAGGCAAAAUGGUGCCGUAACUUCGGGAGAAGGCACGCUGAUAUGUAGGUGAAGCGACUUGCUCGUGGAGCUGAAAUCAGUCGAAGAUACCAGCUGGCUGCAACUGUUUAUUAAAAACACAGCACUGUGCAAACACGAAAGUGGACGUAUACGGUGUGACGCCUGCCCGGUGCCGGAAGGUUAAUUGAUGGGGUUAGCGGUAACGCGAAGCUCUUGAUCGAAGCCCCGGUAAACGGCGGCCGUAACUAUAACGGUCCUAAGGUAGCGAAAUUCCUUGUCGGGUAAGUUCCGACCUGCACGAAUGGCGUAAUGAUGGCCAGGCUGUCUCCACCCGAGACUCAGUGAAAUUGAACUCGCUGUGAAGAUGCAGUGUACCCGCGGCAAGACGGAAAGACCCCGUGAACCUUUACUAUAGCUUGACACUGAACAUUGAGCCUUGAUGUGUAGGAUAGGUGGGAGGCUUUGAAGUGUGGACGCCAGUCUGCAUGGAGCCGACCUUGAAAUACCACCCUUUAAUGUUUGAUGUUCUAACGUGGGCCCCUUACCGGGGUUGCGGACAGUGUCUGGUGGGUAGUUUGACUGGGGCGGUCUCCUCCUAAAGAGUAACGGAGGAGCACGAAGGUUGGCUAAUCCUGGUCGGACAUCAGGAGGUUAGUGCAAUGGCAUAAGCCAGCUUGACUGCGAGCGUGACGGCGCGAGCAGGUGCGAAAGCAGGUCAUAGUGAUCCGGUGGUUCUGAAUGGAAGGGCCAUCGCUCAACGGAUAAAAGGUACUCCGGGGAUAACAGGCUGAUACCGCCCAAGAGUUCAUAUCGACGGCGGUGUUUGGCACCUCGAUGUCGGCUCAUCACAUCCUGGGGCUGAAGUAGGUCCCAAGGGUAUGGCUGUUCGCCAUUUAAAGUGGUACGCGAGCUGGGUUUAGAACGUCGUGAGACAGUUCGGUCCCUAUCUGCCGUGGGCGCUGGAGAACUGAGGGGGGCUGCUCCUAGUACGAGAGGACCGGAGUGGACGCAUCACUGGUGUUCGGGUUGUCAUGCCAAUGGCACUGCCCGGUAGCUAAAUGCGGAAGAGAUAAGUGCUGAAAGCAUCUAAGCACGAAACUUGCCCCGAGAUGAGUU
This 2621-nucleotide ribosomal RNA is filed under the name Escherichia coli. RNAcentral's name for it is "partial 23S ribosomal RNA". It matches the Rfam family "Bacterial large subunit ribosomal RNA". The record is from RNAcentral. Lineage: Bacteria; Pseudomonadati; Pseudomonadota; Gammaproteobacteria; Enterobacterales; Enterobacteriaceae.